UGGCCGUAAACGAUGUGGGCUUGGUGUUGGAAUGGCUCCGAGCUGCUCCAGUGCCGAAGGGAAGCUGUUAAGUCCACCGCCUGGGAAGUACGGUCGCAAGACUGAAACUUAAAGGAAUUGGCGGGGAGGCACCACAACGCGUGGAGCCUGCGGGUUUAAUUUGGAUUCAACGCCGGACAUCUCACCAGGGGCGGACAGCAGAAUGAUGGCCAGGUUGAUGACCUUGCUUGACAAGCUGAGAGGAGGUGCAUGGCGUGUGACUGU
RNAcentral lists this ribosomal RNA (264 nucleotides) under uncultured archaeon. RNAcentral describes it as "partial 16S ribosomal RNA". It matches the Rfam family "Archaeal small subunit ribosomal RNA", at positions 748 to 1008 of the family's 1478-position model. The record is from RNAcentral.